UGGGGAAUAUUGGACAAUGGGCGCAAGCCUGAUCCAGCCAUGCCGCGUGAGUGAUGAAGGCCCUAGGGUUGUAAAGCUCUUUCACCGGUGAAGAUAAUGACGGUAACCGGAGAAGAAGCCCCGGCUAACUUCGUGCCAGCAGCCGCGGUAAUACGAAGGGGGCUAGCGUUGUUCGGAUUUACUGGGCGUAAAGCGCACGUAGGCGGACUUUUAAGUCAGGGGUGAAAUCCCGGGGCUCAACCCCGGAACUGCCUUUGAUACUGGAAGUCUUGAGUAUGGUAGAGGUGAGUGGAAUUCCGAGUGUAGAGGUGCAAUUCGUAGAUAUUCGGAGGAACACCAGUGGCGAAGGCGGCUCACUGGACCAUUACUGACGCUGCGGUGCGAAAGCGUGGGGAGCAAACAGG
RNAcentral lists this ribosomal RNA (404 nucleotides) under Actinomycetes bacterium. Its description in RNAcentral is "Actinobacteria bacterium partial 16S ribosomal RNA". It matches the Rfam family "Bacterial small subunit ribosomal RNA", at positions 355 to 776 of the family's 1533-position model. Lineage: Bacteria; Bacillati; Actinomycetota; Actinomycetes. The record is from RNAcentral.